RNAcentral lists this ribosomal RNA (566 nucleotides) under uncultured archaeon. Its description in RNAcentral is "bacterial SSU rRNA". It matches the Rfam family "Archaeal small subunit ribosomal RNA", at positions 326 to 894 of the family's 1478-position model. The record is from RNAcentral.
CGGGGUGCAGCAGGCGCGAAAACUUUACAAUGCCGGCAACGGCGAUAAGGGAACCUCGAGUGCCAGGUUACAAAUCUGGCUGUCGUGAUGCCUAAAAAGCAUUGCAUAGCAAGGGCCGGGCAAGACCGGUGCCAGCCGCCGCGGUAACACCGGCGGCUCGAGUGGUAACCGUUAUUAUUGGGUCUAAAGGAUCUGUAGCCGGCCGGGUAAGUCUCUUGGGAAAUCUGGCAGCUUAACUGUCAGGCUUUCAGGAGAUACUGCCUGGCUCGAGGCCGGGAGAGGUGAGAGGUACUUCAGGGGUAGGGGUGAAAUCUUGUAAUCCUUGAAGGACCACCAGUGGCGAAGGCGUCUCACCAGAACGGACCUGACGGCAAGGGACGAAAGCUAGGGGCACGAACCGGAUUAGAUACCCGGGUAGUCCUAGCCGUAAACGAUACUCGCUAGGUGUCGGCCACGGUGCGACCGUGGUCGGUGCCGUAGGGAAGCCGUGAAGCGAGCCACCUGGGAAGUACGGCCGCAAGGCUGAAACUUAAAGGAAUUGGCGGGGGAGCACAAGGGCGAUUCGC